Molecule: long non-coding RNA, 965 nt
Filed under: Homo sapiens (human)
Lineage: Eukaryota; Metazoa; Chordata; Mammalia; Primates; Hominidae
Description: ADK antisense RNA 1
Source: RNAcentral
ACUCCCAGGUAAUCACUAUCCUACUAUGUGUCUCUAUGAAUUUGCCUAUUCUAGAUACUUCUUGUGCCUUUUUCCAUAAUUUUUUCUUAUAACCAGCCCUUCUCAUCCAAAGGCCACAAUGAAGUCGAAGAAACCUAUAGAUGACAGCUUUCACAAUCCUUCUCUUGCCUUUUCCUGUACUGACGUAUGUUAGAGAUCUGGCUGGCAGCUUCAAGACACUUGGAAGCAAGAGGGCCACUCUAUUAAGGAUCGCUGAAGUAUGCCCACAUGUCAGGUUUCUCUCAGAUGUGGUAUCAAAACAUCAUUAUGGGCCGGGCACGGUGGCUUACGCCUGUAAUCCCAGCACUUUGGGAGGCUGAGGCAGGCAUAUGAAGAGGUCAAGAGAUCGAGAUCAUCCCGGCCAACAUGAAAUAACAAGAAAGUUAGAAAGUCUUCUGCCUCCCAUCAGAAAAUGAGCUCAAGUGUUGUAUCCAUUGAAAAUGACAUCUGAUGCUAAUCAUCUCUGAGUGAACCCUACAUCUUACAGUAAAUUGCAUAUUGCAAUAAAAAGUGAUCUCUCAUGGUUCUUGAAUUAUUUUUCAUCAUGUUUAGUGCAAUACUGUAAAUCUUGAACAUCACCAUGGGACCCAUAUGAAAUGUCACUAGUGAUGCUGGAAGUGCUCCCAAGAAGCAGAGAAAAAUCAUUACAAAAAAAAGCUGACUUGCUUGAUAUGUACCGUAGAUUGAGGUCUGCAGCUGUGGUUGCCCACCAUUUCAAGAUAGAUGAAUCCAGUGUAAGGACCAUUGUGGUUGGGGGAGGACUUUGUGGAGCCAUCACUGCAGCUACGACAGCAGGCAUGAAAACCUUGAAGUUUCUGUAAAAUAUCUUUUUAUCUUAUAUUUAAAAUACAAUGUGAGUACAGAAUUGCUAUAAGAAAGGCAUACUCUAGUAAGACUUGAAGUCAUUAUAUGACAACUUAAAGCAA